UGUAUAAAAAUUCUAUUCAUUUCUAUUAUUAAAAACUGACAUCGCUAAUUGAAUAACCAAACAGUGACACGUGAUAUAUCACAUGCACCUCAUGUUGAAGUAUAAGGAUCACUUUUAAUAGUACAUUCGGAUGAAAUUUUUAACA
RNAcentral lists this microRNA precursor (145 nucleotides) under Gossypium barbadense (sea-island cotton). Its description in RNAcentral is "MIR7502 microRNA precursor family". It matches the Rfam family "MIR7502 microRNA precursor family". RNAcentral also lists the same sequence under 2 other names. Lineage: Eukaryota; Viridiplantae; Streptophyta; Magnoliopsida; Malvales; Malvaceae. The record is from Rfam by way of RNAcentral.